AGAACUGUGGCUACGUGGAAGGCCUUGCUGUCUGGCACUGUUGUAAGAAGAGGUUGGAAAUUAGAGAGAGGAGCUCCGUUACUAAGUCUGGAGUGCAGUGGCCCACAGACACAGAUUACUAUAGCCUGGGACCCUUGGGCUCAGCAGUCUUCCUGCCUCGCCCCGCUCCCAACUGCUGGGAAUAUAGCUUGACAGAUUUAUACUAGAAGAGGAAGAAACUCGUUCUUUGCUUCCUUCCUCUAUCCUGCAAAGAAGAGAGAUGCUAUCUUUAAACUUUUACUCUGGCCAACCUGGAGCUCUUCCUGUUAAAACUCAAGGACUUUACUUUCACACUCAUCUGGUGUUUCUCAGCCUCAGGAAUCAGAUGGAGGCAGAGUUUGGGGAGUGAAGUUGCUAUUCACACUGCCUGUGCUGCUCCAGUUUUACUUCCGAUUUCUACCCACUUUCAUUUUCAAUUCAUCCUGUGCUUUGGUUGAACUUUCUGGUUCAGCUGAAUAAUGAAAGCAGUUUACUGGAGUUCAGGAACUGGGAUUCCUGACCCCAACAGGGAUAAAUAAUAUUUUAAUUUCUGGUGAAAGGCAUAAGCAUAAGCCUGAAGAGGGAAAAUAUGCAAAAGGACAAAGUAAAUGAAGAAAAAGUGGAAGAUACAGAGCACAAGUCUGGAAAGAAAAACACAGGACAACUGAGGAUCACAAAGUAGGGAUACCUAAACCCACGUUGUCAUUGCCUUUGGAAAGUUUAAUCAAAUUAAGAUGAUUGCUCUGUUAAAAAAAGUUUGUUUUUUUUUUUUUCUUCACUUUUCAUUUCAUGACUUCAACUCCAUUUUUCACUACUGGGAAAUGAAAACCCUGAAAAUAGGAAAUGUUGAG
Long non-coding RNA from Nycticebus coucang (slow loris), 869 nucleotides. RefSeq lists it as uncharacterized. NCBI's taxonomy places the organism in Eukaryota, Metazoa, Chordata, Mammalia, Primates, Lorisidae. The record is from RefSeq and is a predicted model, not a curated record. The transcript is spliced from 4 exons.